AGGAGGUGCCACGAUUCGGGGACCCCGAGAAGGUGAAGCUGGAGGAGUCGCUGCGCGAGGCCGAGCGGGAAGGGGAGGGGGCCCCGCUCAGCGUCCGCAUCAGCAACGUCUGACCGGGGGGAACGGGAGAGGAGGGGGCACCCGGGGAGGGAGGGGGCACCCAGGGAUGGAGGUGGCACCGAGGGAUGGAGGUGACACUGAUGGAUGGAAGGGACACCGAUAGAUGGAGGUGGCACUGACAGAUGGAGGUGGCACCGACCCAUGGAGGUGGCACUGAUGGAUGGAGGUGGCACCGAGAGAUGGAGGUGACACCGGUCCUGGGGUGGCACCAAGGGCUGGAGGUGACACCGAUGGAUGGAGGGGGCACUGAGGGAUGGAGGAGACACUGAUGGAUGGAGGUGACACCAGGAACUGGAGAUGACACUGACAGCUGGAGCUGUCACCAAGGACUGGAGGUUCCACCAGCCCCAAGGUGACACCGACAUCUGGAGGUGUCACCAGUCUGGAGGUGCCACCAAUGUCUGGAGGUGGCACCAACCUGGAGAUGCCACCAGCCUUGGAGUUAUCCCCAGUGCCUGGAGGUGUCACCAAUGUCUGGAGGUGCUACCAAUGCCUGGAGGUGUCACCAGCUCGGUGUCACCAACGUUUGAAAGUGCCACGAGCCCCUGGAGGUGACACCAAUGCCUGGAGGUGUCACCAGCCCCCGGAGAUGUCACCAGCCUCAGAGGUGCCACCAACACCUGGAACUGCCACCAGGCCCUGGAGGCGUCACCAACACUUGAAGUUGCCACCAACACUGGAGGUGCCACCAGCCUUGGAGGUGUCACCAGCCCUGGAGGUGCCACAAGUCCCCUGAGGUGGCAUCAAUUUCAAGGUGCCACCAACACCUGGAAGUGCCACCAGCUCGGAGGUGCCACCAGUCCUUGGAGGUGCCACCAGUCCUUGGAGGUGCCACCAGUGCCUGAAAGUGCCACCAAGGCCUGGAAGUGCCACCAAGGCCCCCAAGGUGUCACCAGCUGCAAGAGGCCAUCAAGGCCUGGAAGUGCCACCAAGGCCUAGAGGUGCCACCAGCCCCAAGAUGCCACCAGUGCCCCGAGGUGCCACCAGCUCCAAGGUGUCACCAGCUGCAAGGUGUCCCCAACCCCAAAGUGCCACCAGUGUCUGGAAGUGCCACCAGUGCCUGGAGGUGCCACCAAGGCCUGGAGGUGCCACCAGCCCCAAGAUGCCACCAGUGCCUCAAGGUGUCACCAGCUCCAAGGUGUCCCCAACCCCUGGAGGUGUCCCGAUCCCAGGGGGGCCAUAGGACCCCCCCCUCCUUCCAGAGGGGAAAUCGAGGCAGGAG
Molecule: long non-coding RNA, 1342 nt
Organism: Neopelma chrysocephalum (saffron-crested tyrant-manakin)
Lineage: Eukaryota; Metazoa; Chordata; Aves; Passeriformes; Pipridae
Exons: 3
Source: RefSeq, a predicted model, not a curated record